This 466-nucleotide ribosomal RNA is filed under the name Acanthamoeba genotype T4. RNAcentral's name for it is "SSU rRNA". It matches the Rfam family "Eukaryotic small subunit ribosomal RNA", at positions 739 to 1095 of the family's 1831-position model. Lineage: Eukaryota; Discosea; Longamoebia; Acanthamoebidae. The record is from RNAcentral.
UGGCCCAGAUCGUUUACCGUGAAAAAAUUAGAGUGUUCAAAGCAGGCAGAUCCAAUUUUCUGCCACCGAAUACAUUAGCAUGGGAUAAUGGAAUAGGACCCUGUCCUCCUAUUUUCAGUUGGUUUUGGCAGCGCGAGGACUAGGGUAAUGAUUAAUAGGGAUAGUUGGGGGCAUUAAUAUUUAAUUGUCAGAGGUGAAAUUCUUGGAUUUAUGAAAGAUUAACUUCUGCGAAAGCAUCUGCCAAGGAUGUUUUCAUUAAUCAAGAACGAAAGUUAGGGGAUCGAAGACGAUCAGAUACCGUCGUAGUCUUAACCAUAAACGAUGCCGACCAGCGAUUAGGAGACGUUGAAUACAAAACACCACCAUCGGUGCGGUCGUCCUUGGCGCGUUGGUCUUCAAAAGCCAGCGCGCGGGGGCGGCUUAGCCCGGUGGCACCGGUGAAUGACUCCCCUAGCAGCUUGUGAGA